Molecule: ribosomal RNA, 1273 nt
Filed under: Staphylococcus aureus
Lineage: Bacteria; Bacillati; Bacillota; Bacilli; Caryophanales; Staphylococcaceae
Description: bacterial SSU rRNA
Rfam family: Bacterial small subunit ribosomal RNA
Source: RNAcentral
UUUAUGGAGAGUUUGAUCCUGGCUCAGGAUGAACGCUGGCGGCGUGCCUAAUACAUGCAAGUCGAGCGAACGGACGAGAAGCUUGCUUCUCUGAUGUUAGCGGCGGACGGGUGAGUAACACGUGGAUAACCUACCUAUAAGACUGGGAUAACUUCGGGAAACCGGAGCUAAUACCGGAUAAUAUUUUGAACCGCAUGGUUCAAAAGUGAAAGACGGUCUUGCUGUCACUUAUAGAUGGAUCCGCGCUGCAUUAGCUAGUUGGUAAGGUAACGGCUUACCAAGGCAACGAUGCAUAGCCGACCUGAGAGGGUGAUCGGCCACACUGGAACUGAGACACGGUCCAGACUCCUACGGGAGGCAGCAGUAGGGAAUCUUCCGCAAUGGGCGAAAGCCUGACGGAGCAACGCCGCGUGAGUGAUGAAGGUCUUCGGAUCGUAAAACUCUGUUAUUAGGGAAGAACAUAUGUGUAAGUAACUGUGCACAUCUUGACGGUACCUAAUCAGAAAGCCACGGCUAACUACGUGCCAGCAGCCGCGGUAAUACGUAGGUGGCAAGCGUUAUCCGGAAUUAUUGGGCGUAAAGCGCGCGUAGGCGGUUUUUUAAGUCUGAUGUGAAAGCCCACGGCUCAACCGUGGAGGGUCAUUGGAAACUGGAAAACUUGAGUGCAGAAGAGGAAAGUGGAAUUCCAUGUGUAGCGGUGAAAUGCGCAGAGAUAUGGAGGAACACCAGUGGCGAAGGCGACUUUCUGGUCUGUAACUGACGCUGAUGUGCGAAAGCGUGGGGAUCAAACAGGAUUAGAUACCCUGGUAGUCCACGCCGUAAACGAUGAGUGCUAAGUGUUAGGGGGUUUCCGCCCCUUAGUGCUGCAGCUAACGCAUUAAGCACUCCGCCUGGGGAGUACGACCGCAAGGUUGAAACUCAAAGGAAUUGACGGGGACCCGCACAAGCGGUGGAGCAUGUGGUUUAAUUCGAAGCAACGCGAAGAACCUUACCAAAUCUUGACAUCCUUUGACAACUCUAGAGAUAGAGCCUUCCCCUUCGGGGGACAAAGUGACAGGUGGUGCAUGGUUGUCGUCAGCUCGUGUCGUGAGAUGUUGGGUUAAGUCCCGCAACGAGCGCAACCCUUAAGCUUAGUUGCCAUCAUUAAGUUGGGCACUCUAAGUUGACUGCCGGUGACAAACCGGAGGAAGGUGGGGAUGACGUCAAAUCAUCAUGCCCCUUAUGAUUUGGGCUACACACGUGCUACAAUGGACAAUACAAAGGGUAGCGAAAC